CCUGCCAUAUUCAAAAAAACACAAAAGGAACAAGAAUUAAUCAUUAAUUAAUGAGUAUUUAGAUUGAUUUAAAAUUCCCUUGUAUAAAUGUAGAAAUGUAAGUUAAAGCUUAUCCAUGUAAAAUAUUGGGUUCAUUGCUUUGAUUCCGUCUCCUAUUCAUAUUCACCUUACCUUCAAAUUCCAAUUUUUACAUGAUAAAAAUUGUACAGAACAAGUAAAGUAACAAAAAAACCUCCACCUUAAUGCAACUACUUUUUCAGAUUGAAGAUUAUUAAUGUAAAUGCCUUUGAUAUCAAAAGAAGAUUAACAUCCAAUCCGAUUUGGUUCCAUUAUCAUAGGAUUUUCCAUUUCUUUUGAAACAUUUUCAUCUCAAUUGUCUUCCCUCUAAUUCCUUUUAUUUUACCAUCUACAUUAUCAUUAUUGGCAUUAUUUUUUACGAUCAAAUCUACAAUGGGGCAACAACAAGAAACAACUAUAAAACUGACCAAUGGCCAUGGACAAGAUAUAACAUUACAAUGGAUUUAAUGUCGUCAGGAUUAGAUUCUAAUGGGUGGUCAUUUCUUCUAAAAUCUGCUCACUGUUUCCUGCAUCUUCAUCAUCUUCAUCUCUUUCCAGUUGUUGUCAAAAUGAUUGGAUUCGGUCCUUUAAAGCUAACCUAAUGUUUAAGGUGGUCAGUUUUUGUCUACUUUUGUCAUUGGCUCCAAAGGUUCAUUUACACCACUUAAAUGACCAUGAUCAUCACUAUUAUCAUUAUCACCAUCAGAGUUGAUCAUCAAAUUUCAUCCUCAUCGUCUUCACUCAAAUCUUAGUAAUCAUCACAGUGAAUAUCAAUUGUUGAACCGAGAAGAAGAAACCAAAAUAAUGAACCAAAUAUUAAAGAUACACUAUAAUGAUUGAUGAUUGAAAUUUUUGUUACUAAUUGCACGGAAUCAUUGAGGCCAAUAAUUAUGACUUGAUUCCGUGACUACUUUCUAUCAAAUAAUACUAUAUUACAGCUGAAAAGGCAAAAAGAUAUCACCAAAAAUGGCCUCAAAAUGGCCUCACCAAGGUGGUUAUUUGAUCACCUUAAAUGCAUUACAGACUGACUAUUCUCACUUUCCGUAAAACCAGCCAUUUCUUCAAAAUAAAUUAAAUCAGCUGAAAAUUGAUUAUCACCAACAAAUAAUUAACAGAUUGAAAUUUAUAAAUUGAUUGAAAAAUGUACAAAAUAUUUAAUGUUAUUAAUGCAAGAAUUGAUUCACUAAAAUUGUUCUGAUCCUUGACUGUUGCGAAGUGUUGAGAAAUUGUAAAUCAUUAAAAGAUGUUAAUUUACUCGUUAAAUGUCAGUAAAGUAAUCAAAAUAUUGAAUUGAAACUCAUCAUGUAGGCUAAUUGAAUCAUUUGCUUGAUUCUUGAAAUUUUGGGUAAAUUAAUUAAAGGCAAUUUGGAGGAAAAAGUUAAUGAUAAGAAAAAAAAAGUGAACUUGUUUGCCUUCAUUUCAUUGUGUGUUCAACCAGCCUUUAUUAGAAAGCUAAUCAAUAGAGAAAUCCUAUUCAAGUUAAAUCGUUACAAUUGAUUUCAUUGUAUAGAGUAGGUGUCAAUGUAAAGGUAAGUUGUCAACAUCAUCAUCAUCAUCAUCAUCAUUCUUUUUAACGCUAUUUCAAUCUUUCAAUUCAUCUUUUCUCUUCUUCUCAAUGUUCGCAAUGAAAAGGAAGACAAAAAAGACAUGAAAUGAGAAGCUCGAACAAAAUAGGAAACAGAGAAAAGAUAAAGACGAAAAUGAAGAGAAAGAUGAAGAUAAUGAUGAUGAGGAUGAUGAUAAAGUAAUAGGAAAACUGAAAGAUAUUGAAGGUUAAAUGGUUAUCCUGUAAAAUCACACUCAGCCUAAGGCCAAGUUGUUACAAAGACAUAGAGAUGAUGAAGAGAUGAAUGCCUUUUUUUGUACCAAACCCUAAUAAGUAAUUACAGGUCAACACGAAAGUUAAUCAAGUGCUAUAUCAUACAAUAAAUAUAUAUUGCUUGACAAACCAUGUCAUCUUGGGUUUAGGUUUACUCCAUCAUCUUCUUGUUCAAUGAACACUUUGGCAAAACAAGAAACGCUUGCAAAUAAUCAAGUUCAACUAAAGUUAAAUCUGUAUUUUUCGUCGUCAAAUUUGACCUGAAUGCCGAUGAUAUAUACUAAGGUAUUACCUUUUUUUUAUAAUAGUCAUCAACCUCCUCCUCUUAUUCAAGGAGAAAAGUCCAGAGAAAGUAUAAAAGGUUUUCAAGAGAUAAAGCAAAAUGAUUAAUGAACUUUCAUGUUAAGAUAGUCUAAUUACAGACCAAUUUUAGCUUAAUUUGACAGCAAACUAUUGAACUAAGCCACCGUCAUUUUUGUUGGACUCCUGCUGCUUGUUACAAUCAUUAUCAUGUUGUCUAUGUGUAGGCCUAUUCAAUUUGCCUUUGAUAUUACAUUUUAAAAUCGUAUUUUCUCAUUAUUUUUUAUAUACAUUUGUGUCUCUACAAUCAAUUGGCAAGGUCUUCAUUAGUAAUACCAUUAAAUUGAUUGAAAUAUAUUUAAUCUUGGGAAUUUGAAAUGAAUAGGAAAAUAAAAAAUUAGUUCAACUUGACAAAUUAACAAACUGAUUGACAAUACAUAAUAUGGUGUUGACCCCUUCACUCUGUGACUAAUAAAACCGGGAAAUUUUUCCCAAUGUUACGCCAUUUUCACCAUUGCUAACCUGUUCUUCUUCCUAACAAUUUACUGUUUGAUUUAUAAAUUAUUUAUGUUUGUUUCUUCUUUAAUGGCCUUCUAAUGUGAUCUUUAAUCAGCUUUAUUAUUGUGUGUAUUAUUGUUAAUUUUCUCAACAAUCAACCAUCAUAAUUGAUUGCUAACUGAUUUUAAGAUAUUUAUGUUUAUAAAUCACGCUCUUUUUUGGGCUUUACUGUCAUCUCAUAUCAAUUUACCGAUAUAUCAUGAUGGCUUGUAAAAAUUAAACACUUGGUAACCCGAUCUUGGUGCCAUUAAAUUUAGAUUAUUAAUUGAUCAGGCUAAUUUAGGUUUACUGUGAAUUGCAGCUUCCUGAAAUGAAACUGGAUGAUAUCAAUAAAGACACCAACGACUUUAACAAAGGUAAAUCAUACUCAAAGAAAGGAGAAGAGAAUUACUAUAAACCUUGUUACUGAGAGGUGAAGGUUAAAUACAUUGAUGGAGCAGAGUAAAAGGACGUCAAUUAAAUCUCAGUAAACCAUUAAAUAGUUUUGAAGAGUGCAAUUAAACCAUGAUUAAAGACAAUUCUCACAGCCAUAAUAAUAAAAUUAUCAACUUUCACCGAAACCAUUCACAUUAACAUAAAAUGCAAGUUAACCAUGGAUCAAAGAUGAGGAGAAAAAUGCAAGAAACGGCAAAAAAAGAUCGGAAUAAUAGCCAAAAAGAUGCUAUGCAAGAAAAUAAAAAAUGUUGAAAAGUUAAUAUGGAUAAAGUGAGGAAAGUCAAAAGGAACCUUAAAAUAAUUUUUCCUUUCAAGACAAGUUUUCAUCACUUCUUUUGAUUCUUGUAGCUGUGAGAAAGAUGGAGCAUAAAUGGAUAACUAAUAAAUAAGUGGGGAAAAAGUGGCCUAAAACGUGAUAUAAAAAAGCUAUGAAAAUGAAGAUCGCAAGAUCAGGAUAAAAAGAUGAAACAAAAUUAUGAUACAAAAUGAUGAUUAUUUGCUGGUGAAAAUGAAGCCUGUCAUUAAGUUAUAAUUUGUUAAAACAAAAUCAAAGCGAUUGGCCAGUUGUUUAUUAUUUUCCUAUUUUAUGGCCAAUCUAAUGGUAAAUAUAAAAGACCACAAAAGAGGCCUUAAUUGCGGUGAAUCACAAUUAACUAAAUUAACCUGGGCCCUGCAUAAGAUACUUGCAGCUUGUCAUCUUUCCUCAUCAUCAAACAUCAUCAUCAUCCUCUUCAUCUUAACUAACAUUGAUUCUUGAAAGGCAAUUUUUAAUACCAAUUUUUUUUACCAAAUAAGGAUUACUUAACAUUUACCUGUUAUACACCUAAGGGUUUGGCCUUUUUUGAUUCAAUAUUUGUUGAACGAUUGAUUUAUUGAUAAACUUAUUGCUUUUAUUUGUAUUAAAACAUGAAAACAUUUGUUUAUCAGAAACUAA
This is a non-coding RNA of Tetranychus urticae (two-spotted spider mite), 4103 nucleotides long. Lineage: Eukaryota; Metazoa; Arthropoda; Arachnida; Trombidiformes; Tetranychidae. The record is from RefSeq and is a predicted model, not a curated record.